UGUAACUGCAGAAGAAGAGACAGUGGAUCCUGUAGCAUCCCAUCUGCAUCAUCAACCAGUUUGGCAGCAGCAGAAGACACUGAAUUCAGUCAUUCAGUACAACAUCUUAUAUUAAGUAGUACAACAUCUCGGAACUGCUGAGAGAGGACCUGUCAAGCCAGGGAUCUUGAAGCAUCCCAUAAUAACAUCAGACGAUACCCGGGAAGCCAAUUUACUGUAAGAUGCGAUUGUCUCAUCAGCUGACUUCACCUUCUGACUGCACUGAGCCGUGUCUUGCUUUUAACGGUGAUCUCAAGACCAUCCAACUCUACUAUUCUAUGAUUCUAAGCUCAUGGACCACUGUUCGUCAAUGGACCACAGUUUGGGAACCUGGCAGUGGCUCGCACACAAAUCAUACAUUGAGAAGGUUGACAACUGCAUCGCAAAAUUCGGAUACGUGCAGAUUUCGAAGGAUGGCUGUGUUUUAGUUCUCAUGUUGUUACUCAAAGUGUGGAUUUGAUAGAAUCAGCAUGAAAUGUGAAGUGACUCAAAUUUCUCCUCCACCAAUAUAGAAGGAACAUGAAUUAUUUCUCUUUAUGUUUGCUUGUU
Rhineura floridana is the source of this 588-nucleotide long non-coding RNA. RefSeq lists it as uncharacterized. NCBI's taxonomy places the organism in Eukaryota, Metazoa, Chordata, Lepidosauria, Squamata, Rhineuridae. The transcript is spliced from 3 exons. The record is from RefSeq and is a predicted model, not a curated record.